Molecule: unclassified non-coding RNA, 309 nt
Filed under: uncultured Pezizomycotina
Lineage: Eukaryota; Fungi; Ascomycota
Description: sequence contains ITS1
Rfam family: 5.8S ribosomal RNA (bases 1-105)
Source: RNAcentral
GAAAUGCGAUAAGUAAUGUGAAUUGCAGAAUUCAGUGAAUCAUCGAAUCUUUGAACGCACAUUGCGCCCGCCAGUAUUCUAGUGGGCAUGCCUGUUCGAGCGUCAUUUCAACCCUUAAGCCCGGCUUGGUCUUGGAGGCAGAGCAGCCCAAUCGGCGCGCCUCUCCUCUGAAAUCCAAUGGCGGUCUGGUUCUGUUACCUUGCGUAGUAAGCUUUUGCCUCGUAAAGUGAACACGAAUCGGCUUGCCGGUGAAUCCCCACAUUUCUCCAGGUUGACCUCGGAUCAGGUAGGAAUACCCGCUGAACUUAA